This 881-nucleotide ribosomal RNA is filed under the name uncultured archaeon. RNAcentral describes it as "bacterial SSU rRNA". It matches the Rfam family "Archaeal small subunit ribosomal RNA", at positions 1 to 879 of the family's 1478-position model. The record is from RNAcentral.
CGUUCGACGAUUUUCCGGUUGAUCCUGGCAGAGGUCACUGCUAUCGGGGUUCGAUUAAGCCAUGCGAGUCGAGAGGGUUCGGCCCUCGGCGUACUGCUCAGUAACACGUGGAUAACCUGCCCUAAGGAAGGGGAUACCCCCGGGAAACUGGGGAUAAUACCCUAUAGGUUACAGAUGCUGGAAUGCUCUGUAACCGAAAGUUCCGGCGCCUUAGGAUGGACCUGCGGCCGAUUAGGUUGUUGUCGGGGUAACGGCCCAACAAGCCAGUAAUCGGUACGGGUUGUGGGAGCAAGAGCCCGGAGUUGGAUUCUGAGACACGAAUCCAGGCCCUACGGGGCGCAGCAGGCGCGAAAACUUUACAAUGCGGGCAACCGUGAUAAGGGAACCUCGAGUGCCUGUAUAUGCAGGCUGUCUGGGUGUCUAAAACACACCUAAAGAAAGGGCCGGGCAAGACCGGUGCCAGCCGCCGCGGUAAUACCGGCGGCUCGAGUGGUGGCCACUUUUAUUGGGCUUAAAGCGUUCGUAGCUGGGUUAUUAAGUCCCUUGGGAAAUCCGACGGCUUAACCGUCGGGCGUCUAAGGGAUACUGGCAAUCUUGGAACCGGGAGAGGUGAGGGGUACUUCGGGGGUAGGAGUGAAAUCCUGUAAUCCUCGAGGGACCACCUGUGGCGAAGGCGCCUCACCAGAACGGCUUCGACAGUGAGGGACGAAAGCUGGGGGAGCAAACCGGAUUAGAUACCCGGGUAGUCCCAGCCGUAAACGAUGUGCGUUAGGUGUAUCGGUGACCACGAGUCACCGAGGUGCCGAAGGGAAACCGUGAAACGUACCGCCUGGGAAGUACGGUCGCAAGGCUGAAACUUAAAGGAAUGGGCGGGGAAACAC